GGUAGACCUGUGGAUGAGAAGUACAGGUGACAGCACAAGCUGGCAUGCAUCCUGCAGGCAAGGGUGUUGGAGGUGUCCUUCAGUGUGACAUGUUCUAGGACCCCAAGUAUGGUCAGCAGAUUUGAUACCAAUCAACAUUUUCAAGGAGCAUGCAAAGCUGCAGUGGUGCAUUGGAGUGUGCAGACACCUUCCCUGCAAUGCUGGCCAGCUGAAGAUGGAUGGGAAAAGCUGAAGUCACCUCUUCUCCAGUGGUUCUCUACCCUGCCUCCCUGUGCCCUGUGAGGACACAGGCACAUCCUGACCCCCUGACCCAAACCAGAGCUUCCUGAACAAGAGUCCAGUAGGACAAGAAGGCAGAACACUGAAUAUGCAUAUGCCUUGUAGGAAACUUUCCAGUAGAUUAAAGCAAGAUUUGUAACAUUGACUGGGAUGAAUGACAUCCAGGGAGGAUUUGACUGCUGGUGGGAGAGAGACUUGGACCUGUGAAGAUUGUGGUGAAGAACUGGAAAUGCUGGCAAGUGAUAAGAGAAUGUGGUAGGCUGAGGUAUGAAGGGAAGAGUGUCUGCAGAAAUUUGGCAGUUAGGUUGUGGGUUUUUGGAACAUAGUUUUGCAAAGGUGGUUUUAAGGGAUGCUAAGUAGCACUAGUCAGGAAUAAUUUUCAUGUGCUAUGUUCAGAUGAAACAGUGUUUACAGUUUUCAGCCUGGGUGAGAAUCCUUCUACUCUACCAGAUCUUGUGAAAAGAAACCCUGUCCCAAUCUGCAGACAGUCCAAACAGGUAAACGGGAAAGAAGGAGGAAGAGAACUACAAGAUGUUUAUACUGUGACCAGAAUGUGAGCCCUUUAUCUCAGGUAAGAUUUUGAACAUUAGUGUUACAGAUCUGCUCUUACUUUCCUCAGGAGAAUACUCAUUCACUUUGCCAUGUAGCAUGCUGAGUUUCAUUUCUAAUUGAAUUGGGAUCACCUGGUAAAAGCCAAGCCUGCAGUCACAUCUGCAUUUGAGGGAGACGUGAAAUAUGACAGAGGUGUAAUUCAGUGUAACUGGCUAACUAGCCAAUUUUUGGAAAAAAAAAAAAAAAAAACAGGAUGAAAAAGGAAAGGCGAAAAACAGAAGAGCUUUUUCUUGUUAAUUAAGUUAAUUCUGCCAAGGCAAAUCAAGAGCAACAUCACUGUACCAAAUGGAACUAUAAUGGUGUAAAACCAGGAAAUGCAAAGGGAGAGUAAGUCUCAAGUUUUGUUAACGGCCUGGAUUUAUCAUUUGUGGCUGUGGAAAGAAUGCAUAUUUGUGAUUUUUCUGCUUUUUCUCUAAUGUUUCAAAGAACAGAUACUUAAAAAUCCCUCAGGAAUUUCAAAUGGAAUAGAAUUUUGUUUUAUUUUAUUUUAUUUUAUUUUAUUUUAUUUUAUUUUAUUUUGUUUUGUUUUGUUUUAUGUUAUUUUUUAUUUUUUAUUGUAUGUUUUGUUUUGUUUAUUAUUGUCCUAGUAAAUUAGAAUACAAAAUUAAUAUCUUUUUACAUUGUCUGUUUCCCUAUUGCCUUAAUUGUUAGUUAGUUCAUUUAUACUCUUCUUUUUUUUUUUUUUGUCAUAUAAUCCUAAGGUACAUUAAGAAAGACUAGUGUGGACCUGAUCAAGUCAGUGGAAGCUGCAGAAGACUGAAACCUAGAAUAAAAAUAUUAUCUUCUUUUAUGUGUAGGCAGAUACUUCUAGAUUACAAAGAGCUUGACUGCAAAACAGGAAAUACGCUCAUUUUUUAGAUUGGGAAGAUACAAAACAGUGAUGUUGCAGUAAUCAAAGCAUCUGGGUUUCUAAGUUUGAAUACUUUGUCUACUGAAUCAUACUGAUAAAUAAAUGAGACAUGAUUAUCUCUUUUGCAUUACUAUCCUUGUGUGAUCUAUUCUGUGAAUUCAAUUAAGAAACAUUUAACACAGUGCAAAACCAAAAUCCCUCCAAUUUAUCUCUAGCAAGGAUCCAACACAGAGUUUGAACCAGGGGCACUGUUAACAAAUCAUCUAUGCCAACUUAUCUAGGUGGUUAGGUGUUUCAUGAUGUUUUUUGUUUCUUCACUGACUGAAUGAUCAUGAUAAUACUGCAAGUAUAAAUAUUAUCAUUCACUUUUGCCAAUAUACUGUCAAUACUCAUCAAGUUUGAACAUAAAAUAAGGUGCAAAGAAAAACUGAUUUUAUUUAAAAAGUGGGCAAAUAUUUGCAGAAAUUAUUUUGAAUUAUUUUUCUCCUCUGUUCAGCAUUCUCAGUUCCCAGUGGUAUGAUGAGAGUUUGAAACACAGAAUGUCUCCCAGAGGUGCUCACCUAUUUGCAAGAACAACCCUGCAGCUCAUAUCUCUAGU
Long non-coding RNA from Columba livia (rock pigeon), 2339 nucleotides. RefSeq lists it as uncharacterized. The record is from RefSeq and is a predicted model, not a curated record. NCBI's taxonomy places the organism in Eukaryota, Metazoa, Chordata, Aves, Columbiformes, Columbidae. The transcript is spliced from 3 exons.